Molecule: ribosomal RNA, 347 nt
Filed under: Lycostomus sp. UPOL MK0143
Lineage: Eukaryota; Metazoa; Arthropoda; Insecta; Coleoptera; Lycidae
Description: SSU rRNA
Rfam family: Eukaryotic small subunit ribosomal RNA
Source: RNAcentral
AGCAGGCGCGCAAAUUACCCACUCCCGGCACGGGGAGGUAGUGACGAAAAAUAACGAUACGGGACUCAUCCGAGGCCCCGUAAUCGGAAUGAGAACAAUUUAAAUCCUUUAACGAGGAUCAAUUGGAGGGCAAGUCUGGUGCCAGCAGCCGCGGUAAUUCCAGCUCCAAUAGCGUAUAUUAAAGUUGUUGCGGUUAAAAAGCUCGUAGUCGAAUCUGUGUCCCACGCCGCCGGUUCGUCGCUCGCGGCGUUUAACUGGCGUGUCCGUGGGACGUCCUGCCGGUGGGCUUAGCCCUUUUGCGAGGGCGGCCCAAUUAUAAUCCCGCCGUGGUGCUCUUCACCGAGUGU